UGGGGAAUAUUGCACAAUGGGCGCAAACCUGAUGCAGCCAUGCCGCGUGUGUGAAGAAGGCCUUCGGGUUGUAAAGCACUUUCAGCGGGGAGGAAGGCGGUGAGGUUAAUAACCUCAUCGAUUGACGUUACCCGCAGAAGAAGCACCGGCUAACUCCGUGCCAGCAGCCGCGGUAAUACGGAGGGUGCAAGCGUUAAUCGGAAUUACUGGGCGUAAAGCGCACGCAGGCGGUUGAUUGAGUCAGAUGUGAAAUCCCCGGGCUUAACCCGGGAAUUGCAUCUGAUACUGGUCAGCUAGAGUCUUGUAGAGGGGGGUAGAAUUCCAUGUGUAGCGGUGAAAUGCGUAGAGAUGUGGAGGAAUACCGGUGGCGAAGGCGGCCCCCUGGACAAAGACUGACGCUCAGGUGCGAAAGCGUGGGGAGCAAACAGG
RNAcentral lists this ribosomal RNA (429 nucleotides) under Chloroflexota bacterium. Its description in RNAcentral is "Chloroflexi bacterium partial 16S ribosomal RNA". It matches the Rfam family "Bacterial small subunit ribosomal RNA", at positions 355 to 776 of the family's 1533-position model. The record is from RNAcentral. Lineage: Bacteria; Bacillati; Chloroflexota.